Long non-coding RNA from Mus pahari (shrew mouse), 765 nucleotides. RefSeq lists it as uncharacterized. The transcript has 3 exons. NCBI's taxonomy places the organism in Eukaryota, Metazoa, Chordata, Mammalia, Rodentia, Muridae. The record is from RefSeq and is a predicted model, not a curated record.
UUCAGACAUGGGCCUACAGAGCACACAGCUCGGAUUCUGUCACCGGGCUGAACCUCACAUCCUUUAUGGGACAGCAGCCACAAGAAUUCUGCCACAGGACUCACUGCCUAGAAGUUUCAUGACUGGCAGCUUGAGACCCCAUCCCCACCCCUCCCUGUGCUUCUGGAGCAAAAGCCUCGUUUGCAGGGGACUUCAGCAGAGCCACCUGAGGCCAUCACUCCUCCUACCUACCCUACCAACAGAGCACACCAGCCACCUGCUCCAAGAGCCCAGGGAACCUCCUCUGUGGUUAACCUGUCCAUCUGACUGCACCAGCCUCUCCUACUCUGAGCUGCUCAGUUCCUGGCUUCCCCCUCUGGCAGGCCCCGCUAUCUGACCUGCAGUCAUUCCAAGAGCAGAUUCUCCAGCCCUGGCCUGGAGAAUCUUUCAAGCACCCAGUUUCAGCCAGAAUCCACUGGUAUACAUAGCUCCAGACAACUCCAGUGAAGAAAAACGUUGGCACUGUGGAAGAGCUCACAGAAGCCACAUUGAGUCCCAGAGACUCACAAGGCGGGAGGAAGUCUGCUGGGUCUGGCUCCCCAAGGACAUCAGGAGACCACAGUAAUUCUGAGACUAAUUGUCCUCAUGCUCGCCCUCAUCAGCUUUGAGAAGGAUAACGGAUUGCCAUACUUGGGGACGUUGUAUUUGGGAGCUGCCAAGCACUUGCCAACCCCACAGCUUCCACCUCUUCUGCCCUUCUCCCAGAGCGGCCAGUUCUAUGCACCG